GACGAACGCUGGCGGCGUGCCUAAUACAUGCAAGUCGAGCGGACCAAACAGGAGCUUGCUCUUGUUUGGUUAGCGGCGGACGGGUGAGUAACACGUGGGUAACCUGCCCGUAAGACCGGGAUAACUCCGGGAAACCGGAGCUAAUACCGGAUAACACCGAAGACCGCAUGGUCUUUGGUUGAAAGGCGGCUUCGGCUGCCACUUACGGAUGGGCCCGCGGCGCAUUAGCUAGUUGGUGAGGUAACGGCUCACCAAGGCGACGAUGCGUAGCCGGCCUGAGAGGGUGACCGGCCACACUGGGACUGAGACACGGCCCAGACUCCUACGGGAGGCAGCAGUAGGGAAUCUUCCGCAAUGGACGAAAGUCUGACGGAGCGACGCCGCGGGAGCGAAGAAGGUCUUCGGAUCGUAAAGCUCUGUUGUUAGGGAAGAAGAAGCGCCGUUCGAACAGGGCGGCGCGGUGACGGUACCUAACGAGAAAGCCCCGGCUAACUACGUG
RNAcentral lists this ribosomal RNA (499 nucleotides) under uncultured bacterium. Its description in RNAcentral is "partial 16S ribosomal RNA". It matches the Rfam family "Bacterial small subunit ribosomal RNA", at positions 28 to 507 of the family's 1533-position model. The record is from RNAcentral.